UACGGAGGAGGCAAGUGUUAUCCGGAAUUAUUGGGCGUAAAGCGUCCGUAGGUGGCUAGUCAAGUCUGCGGUCAAAGACUGGGGCUUAACCCUGGAAAGGCCGUGGAAACUGACGAGCUAGAGUGCAGUAGGGGUAGAGGGAAUUCCCGGUGUAGCGGUGAAAUGCGUAGAGCUCGGGAAGAACAUCGGUGGCGAAAGCGCUCUACUGGACUGCAACUGACACUCAGGGACGAAAGCUAGGGGAGCGAAUGGG
Molecule: ribosomal RNA, 253 nt
Filed under: uncultured bacterium
Lineage: Bacteria
Description: partial 16S ribosomal RNA
Rfam family: Bacterial small subunit ribosomal RNA
Source: RNAcentral